UACGGGGGGAGCAAGCGUUGUUCGGAUUUACUGGGCGUAAAGCGUGCGCAGGCGGUUCGUUAUGUCCGAUGUGAAAGCCCCGAGCUUAACUUGGGAAUGGCAUUGGAAACUGGCGGGCUGGAGUGCGGCAGAGGGGGGUGGAAUUCCACGUGUAGCAGUGAAAUGCGUAGAGAUGUGGAGGAACACCGAUGGCGAAGGCAGCCCCCUGGGCCGACACUGACGCUCAGGCACGAAAGCGUGGGGAGCAAACAGG
RNAcentral lists this ribosomal RNA (253 nucleotides) under uncultured bacterium. Its description in RNAcentral is "partial 16S ribosomal RNA". It matches the Rfam family "Bacterial small subunit ribosomal RNA", at positions 524 to 776 of the family's 1533-position model. The record is from RNAcentral.